UUAUACCUACGGGGCGCAGCAGUGGGGAAUAUUGCACAAUGGGGGAAACCCUGAUGCAGCGACGCCGCGUGAGCGAAGAAGUAUUUCGGUAUGUAAAGCCCUAUCGGCAGGGAAGAAGCAAGACGGUACCUGACUAAGAAGCCCCGGCUAACUACGUGCCAGCAGCCGCGGUAAUACGUAGGGGGCGAGCGUUAUCCGGAUUCACUGGGUGUAAAGGGAGCGUAGACGGCCAAGCAAGCCAGGGGUGAAAGCCCGGGUCCCAACCCCGGGACUGCCCUUGGAACUGCAUGGCUGGCGU
RNAcentral lists this ribosomal RNA (298 nucleotides) under uncultured bacterium. RNAcentral's name for it is "partial 16S ribosomal RNA". It matches the Rfam family "Bacterial small subunit ribosomal RNA", at positions 333 to 647 of the family's 1533-position model. The record is from RNAcentral.